CUACGGGAGGCAGCAGUGGGGAAUUUUCCGCAAUGGGCGAAAGCCUGACGGAACAAUCUCGCGUGAGGGAUGACUGCCUAUGGGUUGUAAACCUCUUUUUUCAGGGAGGAAUCAAUGACGUGUACCUGAAGAAUAAGCAUCGGCUAACUCCGUGCCAGCAGCCGCGGUAAGACGGAGGAUGCAAGUGUUAUCCGGAAUCACUGGGCGUAAAGCGUCUGUAGGUGGUUUAAUAAGUCAACUGUUAAAUCUUGAAGCUCAACUUCAAAAUCGCAGUCGAAACUGUUAGACUAGAGUAUAGUAGGGGUAAAGGGAAUUUCCAGUGGAGCGGUGAAAUGCGUAGAGAUUGGAAAGAACACCGAUGGCGAAGGCACUUUACUCGGCUAUUACUGACACUCAGAGACGAAAGCUAGGGUAGCAAAUGGGAUUAGAUACCCCAGUAGUCCUAGCCGUAAACAAUGGAUACUAGAUGUUGAACAGAUCGACCUGUGCAGUAUCAAAGCUAACGCGUUAAGUAUCCCGCCUGGGAAGUAUGCUCGCAAGAGUGAAACUCAAAGGAAUUGACGG
This 564-nucleotide ribosomal RNA is filed under the name uncultured marine bacterium D042. RNAcentral's name for it is "bacterial SSU rRNA". It matches the Rfam family "Bacterial small subunit ribosomal RNA", at positions 339 to 916 of the family's 1533-position model. The record is from RNAcentral.